GGAUCCAUCUUGUGAUGGAGAGUUUGAUCCUGGCUCAGGACGAACGCUUGCGGCGUGCCUAAUGUAUGCAAGUCGAGCGGACCGGGCGCAAGUCCGGUUAGCGGCGAACGGUUGAGUAACACGUAGACAACCUGCCCCCAGGUUGGGGAUAACUCGCCGAAAGGCGGGCUAAUACCGAAUGUGGCGUUCCUGCGCAUGCAGGGAUGGCUAAAGGCGCAAGCCGCCUGGGGAUGGGUCUGCGGCCUAUCAGCUAGUUGGUGGGGUAACGGCCUACCAAGGCGACGACGGGUAGCUGGCCUGAGAGGGUGGUCAGCCAGACGGGGACUGAGACACGGCCCCGACUCCUUCGGGAGGCAGCAAUGAGGGAUAUUGCGCAAUGGGGGAAACCCUGACGCAGCGACGCCGCGUGGGCGAGGAAGUCCUUCGGGAUGUAAAGCCCUUUUGCAGGGGACGAAAGCUGACGGUACCCUGCGAAUAAGCCCCGGCUAACUACGUGCCAGCAGCCGCGGUAAUACGUAGGGGGCGAGCGUUGUCCGGAUUCACUGGGCGUAAAGCGCGCGUAGGCGGAGGGUCAAGUCCGGUGUGAAAGCCCCCAGCUCAACUGGGGAGGGCCACUGGAAACUGGCUCUCUUGAGGGUGGCAGAGGAGAGUGGAAUUCCCGGUGUAGCGGUGAAAUGCGUAGAGAUCGGGAGGAACACCCGUGGCGAAGGCGGCUCUCUGGGCCACAACUGACGC
RNAcentral lists this ribosomal RNA (735 nucleotides) under Armatimonadota bacterium. RNAcentral describes it as "bacterial SSU rRNA". It matches the Rfam family "Bacterial small subunit ribosomal RNA", at positions 1 to 746 of the family's 1533-position model. The record is from RNAcentral. Lineage: Bacteria; Bacillati; Armatimonadota.